UAGCAGUCUGCGUCUUGGUUAUCGAAGAAUGGAGAGAGUAUUCGGAACGCAUUGGAGGAAACCGGCGGAUCUGCAAUGGAUGUUUCCACAAGACGUUUUUCUCUACUUUUCUCGAUGCAAAUUUCUGGAGUUUUUGCAGCAUCGAACUCCGUUUUCCUUGUUCGUACGUUAUCCGUGCGAGUUUUCAAGCAGUCUGCGUCUUGGUUAUCGAAGAAUAGAGAGUAUUCAGAACGCAUAGGAGGAAACCGGCGGAUCUGCAAUGGAUGUUUUCACAAGACAUUUUUCUCUACUUCUCUCGAUGCAAAUUUCUGGAGUUUUUGCAGCAUCGGACUCUGUUUUCCUUGUUCAUACGUUAUCCGUGCGAGUUUUCAUCUUCGUGAUGCAGAUCUCAUUGAGUGGAUCCAAUUGACCUCAAUUUUGGAGGUAUUUUGUUACCUCUUGCAAGAAGCAUCAAGCACUUAAUAUUUCAGCUAAAGGAAAACGAACUGAAAGUUGUACUCCGUCAUGGAUGGCGGUCGAUGAGGAAAUAACCGGGAGCACCCAAUGACUGCUAUUUAUGGAGGAAGAAGAAGCUGACUUCACAUGAGCACCAAUAAGGGAAGGAAUCUGAUGCUGCAAGUAAUGAAGCUGAAACAGAGUUAUUGCAGUAAUUGUCGCCACAGUCGCCAUACAAGCCUUUCAACAGGUAAGAAGAGGGACUUGAGAAGCUUCUCGCAGUUGCACUUGCACUAGACGAUUUUCCGUUUUCAGUUCCCUU
Cucurbita moschata (crookneck pumpkin) is the source of this 757-nucleotide RNA transcript. RefSeq lists it as uncharacterized. Lineage: Eukaryota; Viridiplantae; Streptophyta; Magnoliopsida; Cucurbitales; Cucurbitaceae. The record is from RefSeq and is a predicted model, not a curated record. The transcript is spliced from 5 exons.